UCGGGAAGGCAGGCCAUCGCACCUAUACAACUAGGUGAGGAAAGUCUGGACUUCACAGGAAAGGAUACCAGUUAACGGCUGGGCAUCGCAAGAUGACGGAAAGUGCAACAGAGACUAUACCAUUAGGUUGAAAAGUUCGAGUUGUAGACUCGAUCGCACUCCGGGCAACCGGGGGCGUUGUAAACCCUAUCCGAAGCAAGGUCAAAUAUGGGGAGCGUAUUUCCGCGCGAUGACCCCUAAGCUGAUCGCUUGAGGGACUUGGUAACAAGUCCCCUAGAGGAAUGAUGGCUCACGACAGAAUCCGGCUUAUCGCCUUCCCGAUUUU
RNAcentral lists this RNase P RNA (325 nucleotides) under Chlamydiae bacterium CG10_big_fil_rev_8_21_14_0_10_42_34. Its description in RNAcentral is "RNase P RNA component class A". It matches the Rfam family "Bacterial RNase P class A". From Rfam's summary of the family: Ribonuclease P (RNase P) is a ubiquitous endoribonuclease, found in archaea, bacteria and eukarya as well as chloroplasts and mitochondria. Its best characterised activity is the generation of mature 5'-ends of tRNAs by cleaving the 5'-leader elements of precursor-tRNAs. The record is from RNAcentral. Lineage: Bacteria; Pseudomonadati; Chlamydiota.